GGGCAUUAUCUAAGCCUUUUAGCGGCGUUGCGAAAGCAAACAUUUUUAUGGCAGAUCCGAUUUAAAGUUUUUCCUAAAUGAUUUAUGAAGUUGGCGCAUGCCGGGGGCCCGUCCAUGGCGUCUCUAUCAUCCCCGCACCUCGCUUGCAUUUCGGUGUUUGCUUGAUGGAGCGGGGCUCUGGGGAGUCGUCGGGCGGUCACUUUGAGCGUAGGAGUUAGUACCCGAAAGAUGGUGAUCUAUGCUUGAUUAGGACGAAGCCAGGGGAAACCCCGGUGGAGGUUCGUAGCGAUUCUGACGUGCAAAUCGAUCGUAGAAGUUGAGUAUAGGGGCGAAAGACCAAUCGAACCGUCUAGUAGCUGGUUCCCUCCGAAGUUUCCCUCAGGAUAGCUGGCAUUUAUGUCGAAAGUUUCAUCCGAUAAAGAGAAUGACUAGAGGUUUUUGGGGAUGAAACUUCCUCAGCCCAUUCUCAAACUCUAAAUGGGUGAGAAGUAAAGCUUGCGUGCAUGAAGCUAUUACAUUGAAUUCGAAUGCCUAGUGGGCCUAUUUUGGUAAGCAGAACUGGCGCUGUGGGAUGAACCAAACGACGGGUUAAGGGGCCUAAAUAUCGGUUAAUAAGGAGACAUUUAAAGGCGUUGGUCGCUCAAGACAGC
RNAcentral lists this ribosomal RNA (650 nucleotides) under Petalosarsia declivis. Its description in RNAcentral is "partial large subunit ribosomal RNA". It matches the Rfam family "Eukaryotic large subunit ribosomal RNA", at positions 697 to 1241 of the family's 3401-position model. Lineage: Eukaryota; Metazoa; Arthropoda; Malacostraca; Cumacea; Pseudocumatidae. The record is from RNAcentral.